GAGGAAAUGAAAAUACCUGCGCAAAGGAUGAGCAUAAUUGGCCUAAGGGUCUUGAUAAAAAGAACAAAAUCUUAGGUGCUGGGGAAUGUAUUGAAGGGUCGGGCAGAGAUGAGAUUGUGCAGCAAAAGGAUAUUCAGAACUGGCCUUAUAGUUUAAAGAAUAAAACAGAAGAUGCUGUAAGUGCUAAAAAUCCGCGAUUACCAGUUGAAAUCUGGGGUAAUAAUGAUACUGAUGUUGAAACAGUUACCCCUUCAGGGUUGAAGAAUAAAAGGACCGCUCUUGAAGACAUGAAGGA
This 295-nucleotide unclassified non-coding RNA is filed under the name Hevea brasiliensis (rubber tree). Lineage: Eukaryota; Viridiplantae; Streptophyta; Magnoliopsida; Malpighiales; Euphorbiaceae. The record is from RNAcentral.